UGGCAAAUCCAUUGCUUCCGGCCGCCAUGGCGGCCGCGGGAAUUCGAUUAACGCGAAGAACCUUACCUGGGCUCGAACGGCUGGUCAACGGCUGGGGAAACGUGGCUACCCCGCAGGGGGGUCCAGACGAGGUGCUGGAUGGCUGUCGUCACCUCGCGUCGUGAGAUGUUGGGUUAAGUCCCGCAACGAGCGCCCCCCUUAUUGCCUGUUGCCAUCACGUUAUGGGGGGCCCUCUGGCGAAGCUGCCCCGGAUAACGGGGAAGAAGGUGGGGAUGACGUCUAGUCCUCAUGGUCUUUAUGUCCAGGGCUACCCACCUGCUACGAUGGCCGGUACAAACCGUCGCAACCCCGUGAGGGUGAACUAAUCAAAAAAAGCUGGUCUUACUUCGGAUUGCCGGCUGCAACUCGGCUGCAUGAAGCUGGAAUCGCUAGUAAUCGAGGAUCACAACGCUGCGAUGAAUA
Molecule: ribosomal RNA, 462 nt
Filed under: uncultured bacterium
Lineage: Bacteria
Description: bacterial SSU rRNA
Rfam family: Bacterial small subunit ribosomal RNA
Source: RNAcentral